RNAcentral lists this ribosomal RNA (391 nucleotides) under uncultured Actinomycetes bacterium. Its description in RNAcentral is "bacterial SSU rRNA". It matches the Rfam family "Bacterial small subunit ribosomal RNA", at positions 370 to 779 of the family's 1533-position model. Lineage: Bacteria; Bacillati; Actinomycetota; Actinomycetes. The record is from RNAcentral.
AAUGAGCGAAAGCUUGACGCAGCGACACCGCGUGUGGGAUGACGGAUCUAGGUUUGUAAACCACUUUCAGGAGGGAAGAAAAUGACGGUACCUCCACAAGAAGCCCCGGCCAACUACGUGCCAGCAGCCGCGGUAAUACGUAGGGGGCGAGCGUUGUCCGGAUUUAUUGGGCGUAAAGAGCUCGUAGGCGGUUCAACAAGUCGGUCGUAAAAGUUCAGGGCUCAACCCUGCAAUGCGAUCGAUACUGUUGGACUAGGAUACGGUAGAGGUGAGUGGAAUUCCGAGUGUAGCGGUGAAAUGCGUAGAUAUUCGGAGGAACACCAAUUGCGAAGGCAGCUCACUGGGCCGCUAUCGACGCUGAGGAGCGAAAGCUAGGGGAGCAAACAGGAUU